GAUGAACGCUGGCGGCGUGCCUAAUACAUGCAAGUCGAGCGACCACACAAUGAGCUUGCUCUCUUACCGUUAGCGACUGGCGGAUGAGUAACACGUGCAUACGCUUCCUCUUUUACUUGGAUAAUUACGGAGAACCGGUUCUAAUAACACCUCAUAUAUUCUACCGGAUGGUUCAAUAGUUCAUCACGGUUUUGCUGUCACAUAUAGCCGGCUUCGCGCCGCAUUAGCUAGUUGGUAAGGUAACGGCUUACCAAGGCGACGAUGCGUAGCCGACCUGAGAGGGUGAUCGGCCACACUGGAACUGAGACACGGUCCAGACUCCUACGGGAGGCAGCAGUGGGGAAUCUUCGGCAAUGGGCGAAAGCUUGACGGAGCAACGCCGCGUGAGUGAUGAAGGUCUUCGGAUCGUAAAGCCCUGUUAUUAGGGAAGAACAAAAGUGGAAGUAACUAUGCACGUCCUGACGGUACCUAAUCAGAAAGCCACGGCUAACUACGUG
Molecule: ribosomal RNA, 497 nt
Filed under: uncultured bacterium
Lineage: Bacteria
Description: partial 16S ribosomal RNA
Rfam family: Bacterial small subunit ribosomal RNA
Source: RNAcentral